AGAACGAACGCUGGCGGCAUGCCUAAUACAUGCAAGUCGAACGAACACUUCGGUGUUAGUGGCGCACGGGUGCGUAACGCGUGGGAAUCUGCCCUUGGGUUCGGAAUAACAGUUGGAACGACUGCUAAUACCGGAUGAUAUCGAAAGAUCGAAGAUUUAUACGCCCGAGGGAUGAGCCCGCGUAGGAUUAGCUAGUUGGUGAGGUAAAGGCUCACCAAGGCGACGAUCCUUAGCUGGUCUGAGAGGAUGAUCAGCCACACUGGGACUGAGACACGGCCCUAGACUCCUACGGGAGGCAGUCAGGUAGGGAAUAUUGGACAAGUGGGCGCAAGCCUGAUCCAGUCGAAUCGCCGCGUGAGGUAGAAGUAAGGUUUUCGGAUACGUAAAGCUUCGU
This 394-nucleotide ribosomal RNA is filed under the name uncultured soil bacterium. Its description in RNAcentral is "bacterial SSU rRNA". It matches the Rfam family "Bacterial small subunit ribosomal RNA", at positions 26 to 435 of the family's 1533-position model. The record is from RNAcentral.